This 377-nucleotide unclassified non-coding RNA is filed under the name uncultured bacterium. Its description in RNAcentral is "contains 16S-23S intergenic spacer region". The record is from RNAcentral.
UCCGGCUUGUCACCGGCAGUCCCUCUAGAGUGCCCAACUAAAUGAUGGCAACUAAAGGCGAGGGUUGCGCUCGUUGCGGGACUUAACCCAACAUCUCACGACACGAGCUGACGACAGCCAUGCACCACCUGUCACUCUGUCCCCCGAAGGGGAAAGUCCUAUCUCUAGGAUUGUCAGAGGAUGUCAAGACCUGGUAAGGUUCUUCGCGUUGCUUCGAGUUAAACCACAUGCUCCGCUGCUUGUGCGGGUCCCCGUCAAUUCCUUUGAGUUUUAAUCUUGCGACCGUACUCCCCAGGCGGGAUGCUUAAUGCGUUAGCUGCGCCACUGACGAGUAAACCCGCCAACGGCUAGCAUCCAUCGUUUAGGGCGUGGACUAC